GUCUAUGUAGUAUAUUAAUUACACUGGUCUUGUAAACCAGAAAAGGGGAAAAACAA
RNAcentral lists this transfer RNA (56 nucleotides) under Glauconycteris variegata (variegated butterfly bat). RNAcentral's name for it is "partial tRNA-Thr". Lineage: Eukaryota; Metazoa; Chordata; Mammalia; Chiroptera; Vespertilionidae. The record is from RNAcentral.